UUGUGUAAUUGUAUUAUAUUGAUGAAAUUAUUUAAGAGCAGAAUGAGGAAAUAAAGAAAUCAUAAUCCUCAUCUUUUCAUCGAUUGAGCUAUGACUAAUUUAGAGGACUAAAUUUUCUUUUAAGGGGGGAGAGUGUAAGGAUUUAUAUGUAAAUUGGAGGACCUAUAUGUAAAUAUAGAAAUUUCAAAGACUAAACUGUUAAGUUAUAAAAAGAAAAAAUAAAGAAAACCGAAAAUUUCGGUUUUAUCCCACCGCCUCCCACCUCUCUCUGUUUCUCGAGUGGAGCGGUGGGGCGUGGGGAGAAGAAGAAGAGAAGUAGAGGGAGAAGAGAAGAAGAGGGAGAAGAAGAGGAGGAAGAAGAGGGAGAAGAGAAGAAAAGAAGAAGAAGAAGAAGAAGAGAGGGAAGAUGGAGAGGAGAGAGAGAGGCAGCAGCUACAACUAGGGCUGCAGCACCUCUGUUUCCACCAGGUGGAAACAGAGGAGAGGAUGUGUGGGGCGUUGGGGAGGAGAAGGGAAGAAGAAGAAAAAGAAGAAGAAGAAGAAGAAGAGAGGAGGAUAGCUGUGGCAAGGCUGCAGCGAGGAGGUGUGUGGCGUUGGGGAGGAAAAGGGAAGAGGAGAAGAAGAGGGAAAAUAGAGGNN
Molecule: long non-coding RNA, 639 nt
Filed under: Musa acuminata (dwarf banana)
Lineage: Eukaryota; Viridiplantae; Streptophyta; Magnoliopsida; Zingiberales; Musaceae
Description: long non-coding RNA (MACU_LNC010711)
Source: RNAcentral